RNAcentral lists this unclassified non-coding RNA (432 nucleotides) under soil metagenome. RNAcentral's name for it is "partial contains 5.8S ribosomal RNA, internal transcribed spacer 2, and large subunit ribosomal RNA". The stretch from base 1 to 120 matches the Rfam family "5.8S ribosomal RNA", at positions 35 to 154 of the family's 154-position model. The record is from RNAcentral.
GAUGAAGAACGUAGCGAAAUGCGAUACGUAAUGUGAAUUGCAGAAUUCAGUGAAUCAUCGAAUCUUUGAACGCAUAUUGCGCUCUCUGGUAUUCCGGAGAGCAUGCUUGUUUGAGUAUCAGUAAACACCUCAACUUCCAUAUCUUUUUUGAAAUGGGAGUUGGACUUGAGUGAUCCCAACGCUUUUCCUCUCCGAAAAGUGGCGGGUUACUUGAAAUGCAGGUGCAGCUGGACUUUUCUCUGAGCUAUAAGCAUAUCUAUUUAGUCUGCCUAAAAAACAGAUUAUUACCUUUGCUGCAGCUAACAUAAAGGAGAUUAGUUCUUGUGCUGACUGAUGCAGGAUUCACAAAGACAGCUUCGGCCGACUUUGUAAACUCGAUCUCAAAUCAAGUAAGACUACCCGCUGAACUUAAGCAUAUCAAUAAGCGGAGGA